RNAcentral lists this ribosomal RNA (304 nucleotides) under uncultured bacterium. Its description in RNAcentral is "partial 16S ribosomal RNA". It matches the Rfam family "Bacterial small subunit ribosomal RNA", at positions 506 to 809 of the family's 1533-position model. The record is from RNAcentral.
CAGCAGUAGCCGCGGUAAUACGUAGGUGGCAAGCGUUGUCCGGAAUUAUUGGGCGUAAAGGGCUCGCAGGCGGUUUCUUAAGUCUGAUGUGAAAGCCCCCGGCUCAACCGGGGAGGGUCAUUGGAAACUGGGAAACUUGAGUGCAGAAGAGGAGAGUGGAAUUCCACGUGUAGCGGUGAAAUGCGUAGAGAUGUGGAGGAACACCAGUGGCGAAGGCGACUCUCUGGUCUGUAACUGACGCUGAGGAGCGAAAGCGUGGGGAGCGAACAGGAUUAGAUACCCCGGUAGUCCCUGUCUCUUAUAU